AUUGAACGCUGGCGGCAGGCCUAACACAUGCAAGUCGAACGGUAACAGGAAGCAGCUUGCUGCUUUGCUGACGAGUGGCGGACGGGUGAGUAAUGUCUGGGAAACUGCUUGAUGGAGGGGGAUAACUACUGGAAACGGUAGCUAAUACGGCAUAACGUCGCAAGACCAAAGAGGGGGACCUUAGGGCCUCUUGCCAUCGGAUGUGCCCAGAUGGGAUUAGCUAGUAGGUGGGGUAACGGCUCACCUAGGCGACGAUCCCUAGCUGGUCUGAGAGGAUGACCAGCCACACUGGAACUGAGACACGGUCCAGACUCCUACGGGAGGCAGCAGUGGGGAAUAUUGCACAAUGGGCGCAAGCCUGAUGCAGCAAUGCCGCGUGUAUGAAGAAGGCCUUCGGGUUGUAAAGUACUUUCAGCGGGGAGGAAGGGAGUAAAGUUAAUACCUUUGCUCAUUGACGUUACCCGCAGAAGAAGCACCGGCUAACUCCGUG
This 490-nucleotide ribosomal RNA is filed under the name uncultured bacterium. RNAcentral describes it as "partial 16S ribosomal RNA". It matches the Rfam family "Bacterial small subunit ribosomal RNA", at positions 30 to 507 of the family's 1533-position model. The record is from RNAcentral.